UUCUUAAUUAUGUGGCAUGGAGCAGAUCUUUUGUUGCCCCUAAAUCAUUUAGCUCCUGCCUGGGGCCACAAUGUUUACUCCAGCAAGCCACCUGUGCACCUGCAGAAGAAAAGCUCCCUCACUGCAAAUUGCACUCACAGAAUGGGGUUUCCAUCCCUGACAGUACCACUCCCAACCAACUUCAUGACCUCCUAUCAGUCAAAAGAUAAAAUAUAAAGGAGGAAAUCAGAGGACCCAGAGGAAACCCAUGCAUUCCAUGGGGAGGAUCCUUACAGAGACUACCGGAGCUGAACUUGGAACUCCAACACCUUGAGCUGUAAUAGUGUCGCUUUAACCACUACACUACCAUGGUGCCCAAAUGUAUUAAUGCAGCUUCGUGCAAGGACCCAUUCCAUUCCCUCAGUUUUUCUGGUUCUAUACCAUCUCUGUUGAUUAUGACACUUUUCACAUGAGUACUUCCAAGAUGUUUCUGUUGCUUUUACUCAUCGAUUUCCAUUGUCUAUAAUUGUUAGGGCUCUCACCUGUUCUAUUUCUUGCACAUACUCUCACCCCACUCCUUCCAUUCAGAGUAAGGGUAGGGCUCAGUCUCAUUUGUUGAGAAUCUCCAUUAAUUUCUGUUCUUAUUUCAGUCCAAUCUUAGUUGUCAAUUGUAGUAAGUAGAUGAUGCUUAUGUAAGUGUGUAUUUAGAGGUUGAGCUCCAAGUCAUCGCAGUAUGUCCACUGAAGUGCAUAGGUGUACGGGCUUUAAAUUAAACAUUCACAAAACCAAUACAAAAACAGAAAAUGCUGUGAACAUUAUUUCUUCCUCCCCUGUAGAGGCUGCUUGACCUGCUGAGUGUUUCCAGACUUUCAUACAUUAGAUUUCACACAUCUACAUCUUUGCUUAAAAAUUUCAUCCGCAAAACCAACCUAUUCUCACUGCAUUACAUUGCCCCUGAUAAUAAAUGUCUAUGACAAGACCUUAGAAAACAUGAAUCACAUUCCAUUUCAUAGCAGCUACAUCUCAAUGUGGCAGGCAUAUUGAUGAAACUUGUCGUUGACCUCAGUGUGCCUAACAGUCUUUGGCCUUCUGAGUUAAAGAAGGUUUGAAUAUCAAGACCUCAAAUGUAGCAUAAAGCCUACUUUCUGCUGGGCAGUAGUGAUCCCUGUCCACCAGUACUCUUUUGAGACAUGAACUACUGAUAACAAACACCUCAAGACAAUAGUAAUAUAUCACAGAUGCUGCCUCCAUUAAUCAGUUCAAGAAGGAUAAAAGAUCCAUGUCAGUAUCCUUUCUCAGGCCAACACCUCUAGCAUUAAGGCCAUAAAAUAUGCUCAAUUGCAUCUGAUGGGCAGGACAAUUUGUGCAGAUGCUCAACACCUGAUGCUUGAAAGAUUCAUUCUGUUUCAGCAUGGCAAGAUAUCAGGUGGACAGAGUAAAUGUUUCAAAGAUGUUCUUUCAAAGGGCGUAACAUACGUAUUGAUUCCCAGCUCAAAGUGAAGGAGUGUU
Hypanus sabinus (Atlantic stingray) is the source of this 1488-nucleotide long non-coding RNA. RefSeq lists it as uncharacterized. NCBI's taxonomy places the organism in Eukaryota, Metazoa, Chordata, Chondrichthyes, Myliobatiformes, Dasyatidae. The record is from RefSeq and is a predicted model, not a curated record. The transcript is spliced from 3 exons.